GAACGAACGCUGGCGGCGUGCUUAACACAUGCAAGUCGAGUGCGCGGUGCCGUAGCAAUACGGUACUGGCGCACGGCGCACGGGUGCGUAACACGUGGGUAACCUGCCCUUUGAUGGGGAAUAACUCGCCGAAAGGCGAGCUAAUUCCGCAUAAGAUCCGCAAGGAUGAAAGCCGAAAGGCGUCGAAGGAGGGGCCCGCGGCCGAUUAGCUAGUUGGUAGGGUAAUGGCCUACCAAGGCAAUGAUCGGUAGCUGGUCUGUGAGGAUGGCCAGCCACACUGGAACUGAGACACGGUCCAGACUCCUACGGGAGGCAGCAGUGGGGAAUCUUGCGCAAUGGGCGAAAGCCUGACGCAGCGACGCCGCGUGGGGGAUGAAGCUUCUCGGAGUGUAAACCCCUUUCGACUGGGACGAAUACCUCGCAAGAGGGGUGACGGUACCAGUAGAAGAAGCCCCGGCUAACUACGUGC
Molecule: ribosomal RNA, 469 nt
Filed under: uncultured bacterium
Lineage: Bacteria
Description: bacterial SSU rRNA
Rfam family: Bacterial small subunit ribosomal RNA
Source: RNAcentral